This 531-nucleotide ribosomal RNA is filed under the name uncultured fungus. RNAcentral describes it as "eukaryotic LSU rRNA". It matches the Rfam family "Eukaryotic large subunit ribosomal RNA", at positions 78 to 633 of the family's 3401-position model. Lineage: Eukaryota; Fungi. The record is from RNAcentral.
CCCUAGUAACGGCGAGUGAAGCGGGAACAGCUCAAAUUUGAAAUCUGGCCUUCGGGUCCGAAUUGUAAUUUGCAGAGGAUGCUUUUGGUUAGGUACUUUCCGAGUUCCCUGGAACGGGACGCCUUAGAGGGUGAGAGCCCCGUACGGUUGGAUACCGAGCCUUUGUAAAGCUCCUUCGACGAGUCGAGUAGUUUGGGAAUGCUGCUCUAAAUGGGAGGUAAAUUUCUUCUAAAGCUAAAUACCGGCCAGAGACCGAUAGCGCACAAGUAGAGUGAUCGAAAGAUGAAAAGCACUUUGAAAAGAGGGUUAAAUAGCACGUGAAAUUGUUGAAAGGGAAGCGUUUAUGACCAGACUUUUUCCAGGCGGAUCAUCCGGUGUUCUCACCGGUGCACUUCGUCUGGUUGAGGCCAGCAUCGGUUUUCGUAGAGGGAUAAAAGCUUUAGGAAUGUGGUUCCUUCGGGAAUGUUAUAGCCUAUUGUAUAAUACCUUUAUGGGGACCGAGGUUCGCGCAUCUGCAAGGAUGCUGGCGUA